Molecule: ribosomal RNA, 490 nt
Filed under: uncultured bacterium
Lineage: Bacteria
Description: partial 16S ribosomal RNA
Rfam family: Bacterial small subunit ribosomal RNA
Source: RNAcentral
AUUGAACGCUGGCGGUAGGCCUAACACAUGCAAGUCGAACGGUAACAGGAAACAGCUUGCUGUUUCGCUGACGAGUGGCGGACGGGUGAGUAAUGUCUGGGAAACUGCCUGAUGGAGGGGGACAACUACUGGAAACGGUAGCUAAUACCGCAUAACGUCGCAAGACCAAAGAGGGGGGCCCCCGGGCCUCUCGCCAUCGGCUGUGCCCAGAUGGGAUUAGCUUGUUGGAGGGGUAACGGCUCACCAAGGCGACGAUCCCUAGCUGGUCUGAGAGGAUGACCAGCCACACUGGAACUGAGACACGGUCCAGACUCCUACGGGAGGCAGCAGUGGGGAAUAUUGCACAAUGGGCGCAAGCCUGAUGCAGCCAUGCCGCGUGUAUGAAGAAGGCCUUCGGGUUGUAAAGUACUUUCAGCGGGGAGGAAGGGAGUAAAGUUAAUACCUUUGCUCAUUGACGUUACCCGCAGAAGAAGCACCGGCUAACUCCGUG